Molecule: ribosomal RNA, 793 nt
Filed under: Onthobium sp. sp179
Lineage: Eukaryota; Metazoa; Arthropoda; Insecta; Coleoptera; Scarabaeidae
Description: SSU rRNA
Rfam family: Eukaryotic small subunit ribosomal RNA
Source: RNAcentral
GUAAUCGGAAUGAGUACACUCUAAACCCUUUAACGAGGAUCAAUUGGAGGGCAAGUCUGGUGCCAGCAGCCGCGGUAAUUCCAGCUCCAAUAGCGUAUAUUAAAGUUGUUGCGGUUAAAAAGCUCGUAGUCGAAUUUGUGUCCCGCGCCGCCGGUUCAUCGCUCGCGGUGUCAACUGGCGUGUCCGCGGGACGUCCUGCCGGUGGGCUAAACCCCCUCGCGGGGCCGCCCAAUCUCAAUCCCACCGCGGUGCUCUUGACUGAGUGUCGAGGUGGGCCGGCACGUUUACUUUGAACAAAUUAGAGUGCUUAAAGCAGGCUAAAACAUCGCCUGAAUACUGUGUGCAUGGAAUAAUGGAAUAGGACCUCGGUUCUAUUUUGUUGGUUUUCGGAACCCCGAGGUAAUGAUUAAUAGGAACGGAUGGGGGCAUUCGUAUUGCGACGUUAGAGGUGAAAUUCUUGGAUCGUCGCAAGACGGACAGAAGCGAAAGCAUUUGCCAAAAACGCUUUCAUUGAUCAAGAACGAAAGUUAGAGGUUCGAAGGCGAUCAGAUACCGCCCUAGUUCUAACCAUAAACGAUGCCAGCUAGCGAUCCGCCGACGUUCCUCCGAUGACUCGGCGGGCAGCUUCCGGGAAACCAAAGCUUUUGGGUUCCGGGGGAAGUAUGGUUGCAAAGCUGAAACUUAAAGGAAUUGACGGAAGGGCACCACCAGGAGUGGAGCCUGCGGCUUAAUUUGACUCAACACGGGAAACCUCACCAGGCCCGGACACCGGAAGGAUUGACAGAUUGAGAGC